RNAcentral lists this non-coding RNA (45 nucleotides) under Trichobilharzia regenti. Lineage: Eukaryota; Metazoa; Platyhelminthes; Trematoda; Strigeidida; Schistosomatidae. The record is from RNAcentral.
AUCCAGAUGACGAGUCACAAAUAGGACGAAAUGUGCAUCCUGGAU